RNAcentral lists this long non-coding RNA (228 nucleotides) under Hordeum vulgare. Its description in RNAcentral is "long non-coding RNA (HVUL_LNC009532)". Lineage: Eukaryota; Viridiplantae; Streptophyta; Magnoliopsida; Poales; Poaceae. The record is from RNAcentral.
UGGUAAAAUUUGUCAAUUUAUGGAGCAACAUAAAACAUAGUUGCUUCACAAUCCAAAAUAAUGACCAGAGAAAAAGAUUUGAUGCUAUGGUCACAUGGUUGAAGGAGUGAUGCUCAAAUUUGUAGAAGAGGCAUUAUUUGAGCAUUUUGAGAUGAUGGCAAAGUUUCAACGCAUUUGAACACUCCUAGCUAGCACUUGCUUCACAAAGCUUCCUUUGGAUCAGAAACU